Long non-coding RNA from Grammomys surdaster, 736 nucleotides. RefSeq lists it as uncharacterized. The transcript has 2 exons. Lineage: Eukaryota; Metazoa; Chordata; Mammalia; Rodentia; Muridae. The record is from RefSeq and is a predicted model, not a curated record.
GCUACACUAUCUUUACUCAUUAAUCUGCUGAUUGACAAGGAGGCUCCUUCCUCAAGCCUGGCUGUUAAGGUGGAAUCAGCCAGUGUGGCUGGAGCAUGGCAUGAAGCGGUGAGCAAUGAAGCCAUCUCGUCAAAGGCAAGGUCUCCUACGCCAUGGAAAGGAGCCGAAAUAUGUUCUCCAUUCAGAGGGAAGCCAGGGAAAGCUUUGAAUCAUGGGAGUGACGUCAUCUGGUGCAAUUAGCCUUUUAGCAGAAGCACUGAGUGUUCUGUAGAAAACGGAAGCAAGGCUGUGUUUUAAUCUGGGAUGGUUUCGAAUGCAUAGACAUAUCGGACAAAUAUUUCUCAGGAAAUAAAAGUCAUGAACCUAUUGUACAUAAAAACUAACAGCUCUGGCCUUUACAUGAGUUGUUUUCUUACUCCUCAAGAAUGAUGCUAUCCAGAAUUUGUAGUGGAUGUGGCUCGUUGUUCCGAAGACCUGGGAACAAAAUGUUUCUUCAAGGCAGAGGGCAGCAAGUCUGUUGGACAGAGGUAUGUCCUGUUGAGCAAAAUGAUAAUUUCUCCUUCUCGACUUUACUGUUUAUAUCAUUUAUACCUUUUUAUAAGCGUGUCACACACAUGACAUUUAGGUUAGGACACAAAGUCCUGUUGCUCUAUAGACUUCAAUGUCAACAGAAAACUAUUUUCUCCCAUGUUUUCACUGUUCUCAAUAAACCAAACUCUUAAAAUGUCUACACUCA